GACGAACGCUGGCGGCGUGCUUAACACAUGCAAGUCGAACGGAAAGGCCCUGCUUUUGUGGGGUGCUCGAGUGGCGAACGGGUGAGUAACACGUGAGUAACCUGCCCUUGACUUUGGGAUAACUUCUGGAAACUGGGGCUAAUACCGGAUAGGAGCUCCUGCUGCAUGGUGGGGGUUUGAAAGUUUCGGCGGUUGGGGAUGGACUCGCGGCUUAUCAGCUUGUUGGUGGGGUAGUGGCUUACCAAGGCUUUGACGGGUAGCCGGCCUGAGAGGGUGACCGGCCACAUUGGGACUGAGAUACGGCCCAGACUCCUACGGGAGGCAGCAGUGGGGAAUAUUGCACAAUGGGCGGAAGCCUGAUGCAGCAACGCCGCGUGCGGGAUGACGGCCUUCGGGUUGUAAACCGCUUUCGCCUGUGACGAAGCGUGAGUGACGGUAAUGGGUAAAGAAGCACCGGCUAACUACGUG
RNAcentral lists this ribosomal RNA (468 nucleotides) under uncultured bacterium. RNAcentral's name for it is "partial 16S ribosomal RNA". It matches the Rfam family "Bacterial small subunit ribosomal RNA", at positions 28 to 507 of the family's 1533-position model. The record is from RNAcentral.